GGUCAAGUUAUUAAGGGUGCAGGGCGGAUGCCUUGGCACUAGGAGCCGAUGAAGGACGUGAUAAGCUGCGAUAAGCUUCGGGGAGUUGCACGUAAACUUUGAUCCGAAGAUUUCCGAAUGAGGAAACUCACUUAGAGUAAUGUCUAAGUAUCAUUAAGUGAAUACAUAGCUUAAUGAGGGGAACUCAGGGAACUGAAACAUCUAAGUACCUGAAGGAAGAGAAAGAAAUUCGAUUCCGUAAGUAGCGGCGAGCGAACGCGGAUUAGCCCAAACCAAUAAAGUUUUCUUUAUUGGGGUUGCGGACAUAUCAUAACGAAGAGGUAUCGUAAUUGAAGAGGUUUGGAAAGACCCACCACAGAAGGUAAUAGUCCUGUAUGUUAAACGAGAAGACUUCAGAUAUGAUCCAGAGUACCACGGGACACGUGAAACCCUGUGGGAAGCAGGAGGGACCACCCUCCAAGGCUAAAUACUACCUAGUGACCGAUAGCGUAUAGUACCGUGAGGGAAAGGUGAAAAGAACCCCGGGAGGGGAGUGAAAUAGAACCUGAAACCCUGCACUUACAAGCUGUGGAAGCACAUUUCUUGUGUGACCGCGUACUUUUUGUAGAACGGGCCAACGAGUUACGUUAAGUAGCAAGGUUAAGCACUUAAGGUGUGGAGCCGUAGCGAAAGCGAGUUUUAACUGAGCGUUCAGUUACUUGACGUAGACCCGAAACCGGGCGACCUACCCAUGAGCAGGAUGAAGCGAAAGUAAAAUUUCGUGGAGGUCCGAACCCACGAGCGUUGAAAAGCUCGGGGAUGACUUGUGGGUAGCGGUGAAAUUCCAAUCGAGCCCGGAGAUAGCUGGUUCUCCCCGAAAUAGCUUUAGGGCUAGCCUCAAGGUGAGAGAUACGGAGGUAGAGCACUGAAUGUCCUAGGGGGUAUUGCACCUACCGAAGACUAUCAAACUCCGAAUGCCGUCAUCUUAUACUUGGGAGUCAGACUGUGGGUGAUAAGAUUCAUAGUCGAAAGGGCAACAGCCCAGAUCGUCAGCUAAGGUCCCUAAAUGUAAGUUAAGUGGUAAAGGAUGUGGGAUUGCACAGACAACCAGGAUGUUGGCUUAGAAGCAGCCACUCAUUCAAAGAGUGCGUAAUAGCUCACUGGUCGAGUGAUCCUGCGCCGAAGAUUUCCGGGGCUAAAACUUACUACCGAAGCUACGGCAUCAGUAAUGAUGGGUAGGGGAGCUUCCCAUACGGGUUGAAGCAUGACCGUAAGGACAUGUGGACAGUAUGGGAGUGAGAAUGUUGGCAUGAGUAGCGAGAUGUGGGUGAGAAUCCCACAGGCCGUAAACCCAAGGUUUCCAGGGGAAGGGUCGUCCGCCCUGGGUUAGUCGGGACCUAAGCUGAGGCCGAAAGGCGUAGGUGAUGGACAACAGGUUGAUAUUCCUGUACUACCGAUAACCGUUUGAGAGAAGGGAUGACACAGUAGGAUAAGCUAAGCACACUGUUGGUUAUGUGUGCCCAAGCAUUGAGGCAGUCAAAGUAGGCAAAUCCGCUUUGAUAAUGCUGGGAUGUGAUGGGGAGCGAAAUUUAGUAGCGAAGUAGCUGAUUUCACACUGUCAAGAAAAGUCUCUAUCGAGGUUAAAGGUACCCGUACCGCAAACCGACACAGGUGGGUGAGGAGAGUAUCCUAAGGCCAGCGAGAGAACUGUUGUUAAGGAACUCGGCAAAAUGACCCCGUAACUUAGGGAUAAGGGGUGCCACCAUCAGGUGGCCGCAGAGAAUAGGCCCAAGCGACUGUUUACCAAAAACAUAGGUUUCUGCUAAGUCGCAAGACGAUGUAUAGGAGCUGACGCCUGCCCGGUGCUGGAAGGUUAAGGGGAUCUGUUAGAGCAAUCGAAGCAGUGAACUUAAGCCCCAGUAAACGGCGGCCGUAACUAUAACGGUCCUAAGGUAGCGAAAUUCCUUGUCGGGUAAGUUCCGACCCGCACGAAAGGCGUAACGAUUUGGGCACUGUCUCAACAACAGACUCGGUGAAAUUGUAAUUCCGGUGAAGAUGCCGGAUACCUGCGACAGGACGGAAAGACCCCAUGGAGCUUUACUGUAGCUUGACAUUGGGUUUUGGUACUACAUGUACAGGAUAGGUGGGAGGCUUUGAAACCAGGACGCCAGUUUUGGCGGAGCCAUCCUUGGGAUACCACCCUUGUAGUACUGGGACUCUAACCAUAGGCCAUGAAUCUGGUCUUGGGACACUGUCAGGUGGGCAGUUUGACUGGGGCGGUCGCCUCCCAAAAGGUAACGGAGGCGCUCAAAGGUUCUCUCAGUACGGUCGGAAAUCGUACGUAGAGUGUAAAGGCAAAAGAGAGCUUGAUUGCAAGACAUACAGGUCGAGCAAGGAUGAAAAUCGGACUUAGUGAUCCGGUGGUUCUGCGUGGAAGGGCCAUCGCUCAACGGAUAAAAGCUACCCUGGGGAUAACAGGCUUAUCUCCCCCAAGAGUCCACAUCGACGGGGAGGUUUGGCACCUCGAUGUCGGCUCAUCACAUCCUGGGGCUGUAGUAGGUCCCAAGGGUUGGGCUGUUCGCCCAUUAAAGUGGUACGCGAGCUGGGUUCAGAACGUCGUGAGACAGUUCGGUCCCUAUCCGUCGCAGGCGUAGGAAAUUUGAGAAGACCUGUCCUUAGUACGAGAGGACCGGGAUGGACGUACCUCUGGUGUACCAGUUGUUCUGCCAAGGGCAUGGCUGGGUAGCUAUGUACGGAAUGGAUAAGCGCUGAAAGCAUCUAAGCGCGAAGCCAACUUCAAGAUAAGAUUUCCCACCGUAAGGGUAAGACCCCAGAAAGACUAUCUGGUUGAUAGGUCGAAGGUGUAAGUGCAGCAAUGUAUUUAGCUUAUCGAUACUAAUAGGUCGAGGACUUGACCAA
Molecule: ribosomal RNA, 2898 nt
Filed under: Clostridioides difficile
Lineage: Bacteria; Bacillati; Bacillota; Clostridia; Peptostreptococcales; Peptostreptococcaceae
Description: 23S ribosomal RNA
Rfam family: Bacterial large subunit ribosomal RNA
Source: RNAcentral